Molecule: ribosomal RNA, 486 nt
Filed under: Atrina pectinata
Lineage: Eukaryota; Metazoa; Mollusca; Bivalvia; Pterioida; Pinnidae
Description: partial 16S ribosomal RNA
Rfam family: Bacterial large subunit ribosomal RNA
Source: RNAcentral
GUACCUGCUCAGUGCCCUGAAUAAGGGUAAACAGCCGCUGUAUUUUGACGGUGCUAAGGUAGCGAAAUUCCUAGCCUUUUAAUUGGAGGCCUGCAUGAAUGGUUUGACGAGCGCUCAACUGUCUCUUUUCCGUGUGUAUUGAAAUUAGCUUCUGUGUGAAAAGACACAGAUGGUUGAGUAAGACGAAAAGACCCUGUGCAACUUUACUAGGUAGGUAGGUUGACUACUAUAAAGUUUAGCUGGGGCAGCUAGGGAAAAGGUAAAACUUCCCCAUUGAUUGUAUACUUAUAGGUUUUGAUCCAAUUAGUAGAUUGAUCAGUAGAAAAGUUACGCCAGGGAUAACAGCGUUAUCCUUCUGUGGAGGUCUUAUUUGCAGGAGGGAUUGCGACCUCGAUGUUGAAUUAGGGAUAUAGCGGGAAGGCGCAGCGGCUUUUCUUGUAGGUCUGUUCGACCUUUAAAACCCUACGUGAUCUGAGUUCAGACCGG